RNAcentral lists this ribosomal RNA (787 nucleotides) under Staphylococcus aureus. Its description in RNAcentral is "partial 23S ribosomal RNA". It matches the Rfam family "Bacterial large subunit ribosomal RNA", at positions 695 to 1484 of the family's 2925-position model. The record is from RNAcentral. Lineage: Bacteria; Bacillati; Bacillota; Bacilli; Caryophanales; Staphylococcaceae.
UUUAGUAUUUGGUCGUAGACCCGAAACCAGGUGAUCUACCCUUGGUCAGGUUGAAGUUCAGGUAACACUGAAUGGAGGACCGAACCGACUUACGUUGAAAAGUGAGCGGAUGAACUGAGGGUAGCGGAGAAAUUCCAAUCGAACCUGGAGAUAGCUGGUUCUCUCCGAAAUAGCUUUAGGGCUAGCCUCAAGUGAUGAUUAUUGGAGGUAGAGCACUGUUUGGACGAGGGGCCCCUCUCGGGUUACCGAAUUCAGACAAACUCCGAAUGCCAAUUAAUUUAACUUGGGAGUCAGAACAUGGGUGAUAAGGUCCGUGUUCGAAAGGGAAACAGCCCAGACCACCAGCUAAGGUCCCAAAAUAUAUGUUAAGUGGAAAAGGAUGUGGCGUUGCCCAGACAACUAGGAUGUUGGCUUAGAAGCAGCCAUCAUUUAAAGAGUGCGUAAUAGCUCACUAGUCGAGUGACACUGCGCCGAAAAUGUACCGGGGCUAAACAUAUUACCGAAGCUGUGGAUUGUCCUUUGGACAAUGGUAGGAGAGCGUUCUAAGGGCGUUGAAGCAUGAUCGUAAGGACAUGUGGAGCGCUUAGAAGUGAGAAUGCCGGUGUGAGUAGCGAAAGACGGGUGAGAAUCCCGUCCACCGAUUGACUAAGGUUUCCAGAGGAAGGCUCGUCCGCUCUGGGUUAGUCGGGUCCUAAGCUGAGGCCGACAGGCGUAGGCGAUGGAUAACAGGUUGAUAUUCCUGUACCACCUAUAAUCGUUUUAAUCGAUGGGGGGACGCAGUAGGAUA